GACGAACGCUGGCGGCGUGCUUAACACAUGCAAGUCGAACGGAAAGGCCCUGCUUUUGUGGGGUGCUCGAGUGGCGAACGGGUGAGUAACACGUGAGUAACCUGCCCUUGACUUUGGGAUAACUUCAGGAAACUGGGGCUAAUACCGGAUAGGAGCUCCUGCUGCAUGGUGGGGGUUGGAAAGUUUCGGCGGUUGGGGAUGGACUCGCGGCUUAUCAGCUUGUUGGUGGGGUAGUGGCUUACCAAGGCUUUGACGGGUAGCCGGCCUGAGAGGGUGACCGGCCACAUUGGGAAUGAGAUACGGCCCAGACUCCUACGGGAGGCAGCAGUGGGGAAUAUUGCACAAUGGGCGGAAGCCGGAUGCAGCAACGCCGCGUGCGGGAUGACGGCCUUCGGGUUGUAAACCGCUUUCGCCUGUGACGAAGCGUGAGUGACGGUAAUGGGUAAAGAAGCACCGGCUAACUACGU
Molecule: ribosomal RNA, 467 nt
Filed under: uncultured bacterium
Lineage: Bacteria
Description: partial 16S ribosomal RNA
Rfam family: Bacterial small subunit ribosomal RNA
Source: RNAcentral